RNAcentral lists this transfer RNA (77 nucleotides) under Pseudomonadota bacterium. RNAcentral describes it as "Proteobacteria bacterium tRNA-His". It matches the Rfam family "tRNA". Rfam says of the family: Transfer RNA (tRNA) molecules are approximately 80 nucleotides in length. Their secondary structure includes four short double-helical elements and three loops (D, anti-codon, and T loops). Further hydrogen bonds mediate the characteristic L-shaped molecular structure. tRNAs have two regions of fundamental functional importance: the anti-codon, which is responsible for specific mRNA codon recognition, and the 3' end, to which the tRNAs corresponding amino acid is attached (by aminoacyl-tRNA synthetases). tRNAs cope with the degeneracy of the genetic code in two manners: having more than one tRNA (with a specific anti-codon) for a particular amino acid; and 'wobble' base-pairing, i.e. permitting non-standard base-pairing at the 3rd anti-codon position. Lineage: Bacteria; Pseudomonadati; Pseudomonadota. The record is from RNAcentral. RNAcentral also lists the same sequence under 1 other name.
GCGGAUGUAGCUCAGUUUGGUAGAGCUCCGGAUUGUGGCUCCGGUGGUCGCGAGUUCGAGCCUCGUCAUUCGCCCCA